This 497-nucleotide ribosomal RNA is filed under the name uncultured bacterium. RNAcentral describes it as "partial 16S ribosomal RNA". It matches the Rfam family "Bacterial small subunit ribosomal RNA", at positions 28 to 507 of the family's 1533-position model. The record is from RNAcentral.
GAUGAACGCUGGCGGCGUGCCUAAUACAUGCAAGUCGAGCGAACAGACGAGGAGCUUGCUCCUCUGACGUUAGCGGCGGACGGGUGAGUAACACGUGGAUAACCUACCUAUAAGACUGGGAUAACUUCGGGAAACCGGAGCUAAUACCGGAUAAUAUAUUGAACCGCAUGGUUCAAUAGUGAAAGACGGUUUUGCUGUCACUUAUAGAUGGAUCCGCGCCGCAUUAGCUAGUUGGUAAGGUAACGGCUUACCAAGGCAACGAUGCGUAGCCGACCUGAGAGGGUGAUCGGCCACACUGGAACUGAGACAAGGUCCAGAACCCUAAGGGAGGCAGCAGUAGGGAAUCUUCCGGAAUGGGCGAAAGCCUGACGGGGCAAAGCCGCGUGAGGGAUGAAGGUCUUCGGAUCGUAAAACUCUGUUAUUAGGGAAAAAUAAAUGUGUAAGUAACUAUGCAAGUCUUGACGGUACCUAAUCAGAAAGGCACGGCUAACUACGUG